This 513-nucleotide long non-coding RNA is filed under the name Pan troglodytes (chimpanzee). RNAcentral's name for it is "long non-coding RNA NONPTRT016058". Lineage: Eukaryota; Metazoa; Chordata; Mammalia; Primates; Hominidae. The record is from RNAcentral.
UUACAAGUACUUUCUAUUGAAUAUAUUAUAUUUCUUGAGUCAGAGAUAACAGUGUUUUCCUUUGGUUGACCCUAAUUGCUUGUUCUCACUUCAGGCACUCCUGGUUUGUAAUGUUUGUACAUAAGAGCUUAGUCAGUGCAGGUCAUCUAAUUUCAAAUAGAAAUUAUUUAAACCCGUUUUUAAUGAUGACUUUAGCGGAUUGGAUUAUUGUAUAACAGGCUCUCCUGUCUUAAAACACAAAUUACUUGUUUUUUAAAAGCAGACUCUAGGCAUAUUUUCUGUUGUUUAUAUCUAAUUUAUGACCAAUUCAAUAAUUUUUCCCUCUACAUUUUUUUAACAUGUUAUGUUACCUCCCUGACCAAAAUCCUCCAAUAAUUUCUCAUUGCCUUGAAAUCAAGUCAUGCAUGAACAUUUUCCCUCAGAAUCCCAAUAAGAAGCUAAUCUUAAUUUAAACAGUAUAUUUUAUAGAAUGAUAUGAAUUGAAAUGCUUUGUCAUGUGGUUGUCAAUUUUGA